RNAcentral lists this long non-coding RNA (451 nucleotides) under Daucus carota (carrot). Its description in RNAcentral is "long non-coding RNA (DCAR_LNC001024)". Lineage: Eukaryota; Viridiplantae; Streptophyta; Magnoliopsida; Apiales; Apiaceae. The record is from RNAcentral.
GACAAGGCUGGAACUUGAUUUUCUCACCUUUUUAAUGAUUAAGGGGGAGGAAAUUAGGAAAUUAAUAAUACUUUACUUAAGUUUGUGUUAUCUGCUUAAGUACAUUAUUGGCCCUAAGUUUUUAUUUGCUUUAAGACUAAGUUGUUCUGUGCUGGUUGGAUUUGAAUUUGGUGAUCUCAGGUGGUUUAUCCUGAGUUAAUUUGUUUAAGUUGUUUGGAUAAUAUUUUGGAUACCAGGUGGUUUAUCCUGGUUAGGAUUAUUUGAAAUAUCUAUGCAAUUUGCUUUGAUUAAUUGUUUCUGUGUUAAAUUUUGCAUAUCUGUGAAUUAGAGAUAUUUGUUAGAUUUUAUUCUCUGUGAUAAUUGUGAAAGUUUAGUGAUAUUAGAUUGCUAUAUUUAGGGGGAGUUUAUUACUUUUCCUAAUAUAGUGUAAUCAUCAAAAAGGGGGAGAUUG